UACGUAGGUGGCGAGCGUUGUCCGGAUUUACUGGGCGUAAGGAGCGCGCAGGCGGCUGGGCAAGUCCGAUGUGAAAGCUUCCGGCUUAACUGGAAAAUUGCAUCGGAAACUGCUCGGCUUGAAGGUGGGAGAGGGUAGCGGAAUUCCCGGUGUAGUGGUGAAAUGCGUAGAUAUCUGGAGGAACACCGGUGGCGAAGGCGGCAUCCUGGACCGAUAUUGACGCUGAGGAGCGAAAGCCAGGGGAGCAAACGGG
RNAcentral lists this ribosomal RNA (253 nucleotides) under uncultured bacterium. RNAcentral's name for it is "partial 16S ribosomal RNA". It matches the Rfam family "Bacterial small subunit ribosomal RNA", at positions 524 to 776 of the family's 1533-position model. The record is from RNAcentral.